Molecule: ribosomal RNA, 481 nt
Filed under: uncultured bacterium
Lineage: Bacteria
Description: partial 16S ribosomal RNA
Rfam family: Bacterial small subunit ribosomal RNA
Source: RNAcentral
GACGAACGCUGGCGGCGUGCUUAACACAUGCAAGUCGAACGAUGAAGCCCAGCUUGCUGGGUGGAUUAGCGGCGGACGGGUGAGUAACACGUGGGCAACCUGCCCCUAACUUUGGGAUAACUACUCGAAAGAGUAGCUAAUACCGGAUACGAAGUCUGUAGGCAUCUACGGAUUUGGAAAGUUUUUCGGUUAGGGAUGGGCCCGGGGCCUAUCAGCUUGUUGGUGGGGUAGUGGCUCACCAAGGCGACGACGGGUAGCCGGCCUGAGAGGGCGACCGGCCACACUGGGACUGAGACACGGCCCAGACUCCUACGGGAGGCAGCAGUGGGGAAUAUUGCGCAAUGGGCGAAAGCCUGACGCAGCAACGCCGCGUGCGGGAUGAAGGCCUUCGGGUUGUAAACCGCUUUCAGCAGGGAAGAAGCGAAAGUGACGGUACCUGCAGAAGAAGCACCGGCUAACUACGUGCCAGCCGCCGCGGUAA